Molecule: ribosomal RNA, 1381 nt
Filed under: uncultured Bacteroidota bacterium
Lineage: Bacteria; Pseudomonadati; Bacteroidota
Description: uncultured Bacteroidetes bacterium 16S ribosomal RNA
Rfam family: Bacterial small subunit ribosomal RNA
Source: RNAcentral
AGUCGAGGGGCAGCGCAGUUGUAGCAAUACAAUGGCGGCGACCGGCGGACGGGUGCGUAACACGUAUAUAACCUACCUGUUAUUGCGGGAUACUUCGGAGAAAUUCGGACUAAUACGGCAUAAUAUAUAAAAGAGGCAUCUCUUUUAUAUUAAAGAAAAUUUGAUAACAGAUGGGUAUGCGCAAGAUUAGAUAGUUGGUGGGGCAACGGCUCACCAAGUCGGCGAUCUUUAGGGGUUCUGAGAGGAAGGUCCCCCACACUGGUACUGAGACACGGACCAGACUCCUACGGGAGGCAGCAGUGAGGAAUAUUGGUCAAUGGGCGAGAGCCUGAACCAGCCAAGUCGCGUGAAUGAAGAAGGCGAUACAACGUUGUAAAGUUCUUUUGCAGGGGAAUAAAAAGAGGCACGCGUGCCUUAUUGUAUGUACCUUGCGAAUAAGGAUCGGCUAACUCCGUGCCAGCAGCCGCGGUAAUACGGAGGAUUCGAGCGUUAUCCGGAUUUAUUGGGUUUAAAGGGUGCGUAGGCGGUUUAAAAAGUUAGAGGUGAAAGGUUUGUGCUUAACAUAGACAUUGCCUUUAAAACUGUUAGACUUGAGUGUAAAUGAGGCAGGCGGAAUGUGGAGUGUAGCGGUGAAAUGCUUAGAUAUUCCACAGAACACCGAUUGCGAAGGCAGCUUGCUGGGAUACGACUGACGCUGAGGCACGAAAGCGCGGGGAUCAAACAGGAUUAGAUACCCUGGUAGUCCGCGCAGUAAACGAUGAUUACUAACUGUUUGCGAUAUAGUGCAAGUGGUUAAGCGAAAGCGAUAAGUAAUCCACCUGGGGAGUACGACCGCAAGGUUGAAACUCAAAGGAAUUGACGGGGGCCCGCACAAGCGGAGGAACAUGUGGUUUAAUUCGAUGAUACGCGAGGAACCUUACCCGGGCUUGAAAUGGAGUGGAAUAAUUUGGAAACAGAUUAGUCAGUUAAUGACCACUUUGUAGGUGCUGCAUGGUUGUCGUCAGCUCGUGCCGUGAGGUGUCGGCUUAAGUGCCAUAACGAGCGCAACCCUUGUCAUUAGUUACCAUCGUGAAAGACGGGGACUCUAAUGAGACUGCCACCGUAAGGUGCGAGGAAGGUGGGGAUGACGUCAAAUCAGCACGGCCCUUACGUCCGGGGCGACACACGUGUUACAAUGGUUAGUACAGAGGGUUGCGAGACAGUGAUGUUAAGCUAAUCUCAUAAAACUAAUCUCAGUUCGGAUAGGAGUCUGCAACUCGACUCCUUGAAGCUGGAUUCGCUAGUAAUCGCGCAUCAGCCAUGGCGCGGUGAAUACGUUCCCGGGCCUUGUACACACCGCCCGUCAAGCCAUGGGAGUUGGGGGGACCUGAAGUACGUGACC